CAUAGCUUCCAAGUGAGUGUUGUGCAAACAUUUGCUAGGAUCUCUCGGGGAGCCUGUUAGAAAAGAAACUCCUGAGCCUGCUCCAGAGCUUCUGUUCAGCAGGCCUGAGGUGGGACCAUACACCUGUCUUUUCAGCAAGCCCCCCCCCACCUCUGAGGAUGCACCCCAAAGCUAGAGAAUUCCUGCUCUGAGCCAUCUCUGAAAGCACCAAGAGCCAGGGCCAGGGAAGCUGGGCUGGAGGAAGCUGUCUGGGAGCCCAGGAGGCAAGCAGAAAACCGCCAGGACCGCCCCACGCUGGGGGAGCAGCAGGCACGGCCCCUACCAACACCCCCUGGCACCUCGCAAAGCUAGAGCCCGCCCGGUCCCCUCCCCGGAGCGCCCUGGUCUUUGGUUCGUAUUCAGCACAUCUUCAGAAACAGUGAUAGAAAAAUGCUGGUUUCUGACUCCACCAGCUCACGGAGGAGAUGCCAGCUCACGGAGGAAAAUCUGGAAGGUGUUGAAGCAUAGACGCUGGAACAUAAAAUGACUCAUGAUCUCACUGGGAGAAGGGCUGGGAACAUCGUGGGCUCUCUUCUCCCCGCGCUCCUCUCUCCGGGUCUCUGUUUCCCUCAUUCCACGAUGUUUAGAACCAUCGGCGCACUACAUCAGACUAGAGGUCUGGGGUCACCCGACCAUCCCGCCACAAGCCCCUCCGAGGCAUCACUGUGUCCAGAUUUUGCAAACUGCACCUCCUGAAGGGGCUGGGGUCUGUCCACUUCGCCCCAUCUGCCGUGGCAGCACUUCCUCCGUGGUUCGCACCCCCACAGCAGCCUCCUGGGAAGGCACCUCCCUGGGGCCCCUCUCAGUCCACGGUGUGGAUAUGGUGAGUUCUUAAACCAUGAACUUCUGAUUUCACAGCUCUGCUUGAAGCCUUCAAUGUCAGGCUUCCUGUUGCUCUUAAGAUAAUGAUCAAAACUCUCAACAAAGUUCCCCUGAUAAAUGCUCUCAACGUGCCCCCCACCACAGCAUCCCUAACUGUAAUGAAUACAUCAUUGGUCCUCACGGCAGCGGAUUAAUCGUCUGUGAGUGUUGGUUUAAUCUUUCUCUUCUGGAGUUUAGCUGUCACUGCCAUAUCCCCAGCACGGAGCACAAUGACAUGUUUAUAUGUAGAAAAUUGAGCGAAAAAUAAAAACAGCUAACAUUUGGGUACUUAUUAUCUUCCAGGCAGCAAGCUAUGCAUUUUGCAUAUAUUAGCAAAUCCAUGAGGCAGGUGCUGUCUUCAUUGUACAGGUGAGGAGCCUGAAGCUCAGAGAGGUGAAGGAACAUCCUCAAGGCCACGCUCUGAAAUCAACAAAAGAUACAUCAGUUUAUUGUGGGAAACAUCAGAACAUGCAGAGAUAUUAACAAAGAGAAGUCACUCAGAGAUGACUGUCAUUAACAUUUUGGUGUAUUUCUUCGUAGACAUUUUCCUAUGUCUCUGCAUAGUAACAUACUGUCCAGAGUGCUUGUAAUCUGCUAGACGGUUUGAUGAGACCAAGUUUUCAUGGUAUUAGCCACGGCAAUAUUUGUAUUCAUAUUUUAGGGUAUGGCUGAACUGAAAUUUGCUUUUGCUCAACUCAGCCCCUCUUGUGAACAUUAGGCACUUUGCACUUCACCUGCUGAAAACGUGGUAGUCAUAAACACGCUGGUAGCUCAAUCGUCCCACCUAUCUUUACUAUGUUAUUCAUUCCUAGCAGUGGGGCCUGGGUCAAAAGUUCUGCAGGGUUUUAAGGCUUUGGAUCAGUGGUUCGGGAUUGUCCUCUGGGACGGGCUGAGAAGCACACAUGCCUGCCGGUGGUGACAAGCAUUCCUUCCUAGUGCAGAGUCAGGUCUGCACCUGGCACCCCCUACCCAUCCAGGUUGGGUCCCUGGCAUUCAGUUAUGUGGAACAGACCAGAAAAAUUAAAAAAGAACCCCCUCCCGCAUCUUCCCCGAAGGACCACUGGCCUGCUGUCUCUCCCCGCACUCCCCCACUGGAGUUCAUACCCACUGAAUCACGACCCCCUUGUGGCUAAGCCCUGGUGCGCCACCCUGCAAAAUCAAAGGUGGUGUCUAGGCACAGAAAUGGCUCCGUGACCUAUGUCCCCUUUGUUCUAAUCUAGAAUCCAGCCAGGAGUAUGCGUGUCAGAAGCCAGGGGUGAUUGUGUUUUUUCUCCUUCCUCUUUCUUUAGGUCAGGAAGAUUCCUGCAGCUGCUGAGUUAGUACUUUUAAGAAAGUACUGGAUUCCCUCUCACAAUGGGACUUUGAUUUUUUUAAGAAAAAGGUUUCAUAAGUUUUCAAAUAACCUGGAGCAGUUGAGCAAACUUAAUGUGCAGCGUGGUCCCUGCUGGCUGGGUUUGAGGGGCUGGGUCUCUCUGAGUGGAUGCUGGUGAGGUGCAGAGGAAGAAGAAAAGGUGCCUGAGGGCCUGUGUGGAAGGCCUGUCACACAGCACAUCCUGGGAAAUCUGUCCAGGAAGCAGCCAGGCGGGCAUCAGCCAGGCGGGCAUCAGCAUCUUCACUGUGCAGAUGAGAAACUGAGGCCGCAGAGGUGAAGGGACAUGCCCAGGAUCACUAAGGCAAGACGGGGGAAGAGCAGAGAUCUUGGGCAUGAUCUCGGCUCACUGCAACCUCCACCUCCCAGGUUCAAGGGAUUCUCCUGCUUCAGCCUCCCAAGGAGCUGGGAUUACAGGUGCCCGCCACCACGCCCGGCUAAUUUUUGUAUGUUUAGUAGAGACAGGGUUUCACCAUGUUGGCCAGGCUGGUCUCGAAUUCCUGAUCUCAAGUGAUCCGCCUUGCUCUGUCCCUUAGGGACCUCAGCUUAGUGUUCCACACACUGGCAGAUCGCCUCGUUCUUCUCAGGGCUCAGUGUUUUCCUGAGUCUGAACCACGAUCUGGGUAGCCAUCCCCUGGCGAGGACCAUUCGGGGUUCCAGCAGUCACAUGCCACGGUAAACAAGCUUCGUAAACAUCCCACGACAAAGGUGGGAGAGAAUCCCAGUAGGGACAAUGACUACAGGUGGAAUUGCUGGGAAAAAGUAUGUCGGUUUUAAGUGUUGAUAACUGGUCCUUUAUUGGUCGUGGUCAUUCAUUCUUCUGCCAGGCGGGGCUGGUGUUCCUAUAUCCUCUCCUCACCAACAGAGCGUCUUAUGUUUAUUUGUUGGCAACGUGGCAGGUGAAACAUGUACCCUGUCAUUAAAAAAAAUUAUACUUGGCUGGGCACGGUGGCUCACACCUGUAAUCCCAGAGCUUGGGAAGCUGAGGUGGGUGGAUUGCUUGAGGCCCGGAGCUCGAGGCUAGCUUGGGCAGCACAACGAGACCCUGUUUCUACAAAAAAUACAAAAAUUAGUGGGGUGUAGUAGUGCACGCCUGUAGUCCCAGCUACUGGGGAGGCUGAGGUGGGAGGAUCACUUGAGCCUGUCUCAGAACAAACAAACAAACAAACAAAAAUAAGAAAAAAAUACAUAGUUUUAAAACAGUUUUAAACACAUUUGGGAAAAUAUAGGCAGUAGAAAUAGCAGUUGUGCUGUUAAUGCCUCAGACAGGGCUGGGCUCGUAGUAGGUGCUCAAUAAAUAUGUAUUAAGUAAGUGAAUAAGGAAGAAAAUCCCAUGGCUCUGCCAACAAGAAACACUUCUGUCAACAUUUCACUGUGUUUGUUUUCCUGAGUAUUUUUUCCUCUACAUAAUUUAGCUUUGUUUUCCAUUCAUUAUGCUCACCCGUGCAGACACAGUUUUUAAUCUUGUUUCUUUUUUUUCACUUCACGUUGUUGACAUGUGUGUUUCUCUCUUCUAAGCAGCGUUUCAGCAUCUCUAUAAAACCCUCACAGGUAUGUGAACCAUAGAUCAUUUGAAUCGUCUAUUGUGCUUUUAGGCUGUUUUCAAUUUUUCUUUUUAUAAAUGAUGCAGCAGAGUAUCUUUAUGCAGAGACCGUUUCCAUACUUCCCCCUGUGCAGAAGGAAAAGUAGGCAUGUCUGAGGGACCAUGCUCAGGCCUGGGCAGACAGCAGAGACCCAAGGAAAGAACAGAACUUGGGCUCUGGGGCCAAAUCGUGGCUCGGCCACUUGGCAGGCUCUUCACCUGUAACGUGUUGAGAAAGUGACGUAAAGUCAGAGCCAGGAGUGGGCAUCCUGAGUGCUCAGCUGCCAUUGCUGGGACUCAUAAUCGCAAGGGAAGGCAGAGACAGAAGUGAGGGUUCCUAAGUGGAAGGUACUCAUAAAGCCUUGGCUGAAUACGUAUGGCUGACACAGGGGUGUCUGUGUUUGCCACCAAAGGGUGGCCCUGGGCUGGGAUUACACACGGAGAGAAGGCGGGAGGAAAGUCAGGGAGCCUCAGACCAUUGGAGGCUGCAUCUAUUGACCUCUGAUCCCCACAGGCAUGGGUGUGGGUGUGGGUGUGGGUGUGGCUGGCUCAAGGGUCAGUGCCCACCAGAGAACUGGACCAUAGAUGAGCUGGACUUUUCCAACCCUGCCAGCCUGGGCCAUCUCAAGGGUGCUAUUGGUUGUGAGGGGAGGAGGCCCUCUUUUCUGAGUCCCUCCCCAGAUGAGUGCAAGCUGGGACACAUAUACGAGAAGGAUCCUAAUAACAUGCAUGCCAAAAUCCUGCUGUCCCAGCCUUUGGUUCCAGCAGUUUGACUUCUGGAAGUCUUUCCCAAGGAAAUAACCUUGAACCCACGGUGUCUGCUGUAGCAUUCUUCAUAAGAGUGACUGCAAACAACCUCUAAGCCCCAAAUCAUGUAUUGGUUAAAAAAAUAAUGAUUCCUUUUCUUGCUUUAACUCAGGUGAUCCCUAGAAACACAGCCAGUGGCCCGGAAGCUGCACUGUUUUGUGCACCGCAGGGAUGGGCACAGAUGGGGCUGCCUGCCCUCCUCCUGGAAGGAGGGAGAACCCAGUCUGGCCUGGAGUGGUCAAGAGCUAACUCUAGACUCAGCAAGACCUACUUCUCUCUCCUGCCCCUACUUCCUUGCUGCUGACCUGGGCAAGUCGCUGAAGCCUCUCCGUGCCUCAGUCUGCUCGUGCGUAAGAUGGGCACAGGGCACACUGCCUACUUGAUUGGGCUCAACCACGUGCAGUAAGUAGCUGGUGUCUGGCAAGAGCCCUCAGGAAACAGUAACCCCAUUAAUUCAAAUGCACGUGCCUGGAACAGGCUCUGGGGGGCCAGCCCGGGAGUCCCACUCCAUGAUGGCCACCCUGGGGCCUGGCAGGCUGGGCUGGCAUCCCAGGCCCACCGGAUACUGGCUGUGCACCCCGGCCAGGCCACACAUCUCUGAGCCUCACUUUCCCGUGUGUGAGAUGAGGCUAGAAGCUGCUUUCUCUUGCGUGUGUGGGGAUUGGCGGUGACAACACGGCCAGGAGCCCAGGCCCAGCCUACGCGAGCAGCCUCGCUCCAGGCCACACGCCCCACUCCUGACAGCUCUGUGCAGCGAGUUCGUGCGCGAGCGGGUGGCUGUCUGCCAGGCGAGGGGCGCGGGUGCCCAAGAGGGCUUCACUGCUUCUGGAAAGAUCACAAGGAAAAACCACCUCCGCGGCGGGACGCUACCCGCGGGCCGCUGCGGUCCCGCUCGCGGCCGGCAGGGGGCAGGAUGUCCCCGCGAGUCGCCCGUGUCUUCGGGUGUCCUCAGGUCACCCCGCACCGCUCGCAGCCUCCGCGCCUAGUUAAAGGGCGACGCACUCAUUUCUGCAAAGAAGGAGCCCAGCGGCCCCUCCCCGGGGAACUCUUUCCAUCAACUCGGGGCCUAAUAAUUUACAUUUAAUUUGUUAGCGGUUUAAUGUUUAAUUUUAAAAGCGAGAUGAUUCAUUACCAUAUUAAUAAAUAAUAACAUUUAUUAUUCUCCUAAUGAGUGUCCAAAAUACAGAAGCAAUUACAUGUUUUAUAUAUUUUCUCGUAAUUUGAGACACCAGAGCGUUAAUUACAGAGACUCACGCGUGGACCCCAUUCUGAUCCAGGGUCCUGAUCCUGCCUUUGUUUCGGUCUCUGAACCAGCCGCCCUCCGGGGCUUCUGCAAUUCCCUCAAUUAGAGGAGAGGAAGUCGUACGUGACGAAGCUGGGGCUCUCACAGAACCCCGGCGCCCCAGACCCAGGAGCUGCAAGACCUCAGCUCCCCGUGCCCACACUCGGAGACCCAGGCCCCUCCCAGUCCCCCGUCUCCUCUGUGCAGGGUUCUUCAGGAAGAAUCGGAAAGAGGCCCCCCGACCCACAACCAGCCUCGCAUUCCCUCCUCCCGCAGGGAUCCAUUGAGCUGGGGGGUGGGACUAUCCUCACUUCACAGAUGGGGAAACUGAGUCCUGGAGAGAGACGCUCCGGUGUCCUCAGCUGGUGAGGGGCAGAUCCGGGAGCCACGUCCCACGCAGUCGGUUGGCCCCAAGCUUGGUUCCUGCCUCAACCCCAGCGCAGGUUGCAGCAGGCCCGCGUAGGAGGGCGGCCUGGGUCUGGACAGAUCCACAGCCGGCCAACGCCCCUGGCUAGCUCUCUAUGGCUUUGCUUCUUCUCUUGACUUGCCAAGUUCUUCUUGUUCAUUGUAGAAAAUGUGGAAGGUGAGGCCGGGAGCGGUGGCUCACGCCUGUAAUCCUAGCACUUUGGGAGGCCGAGGCGGGCAGAUUGCCUGAGCUCAGGAGUUCGAGACCAGCCUGGGCAACAUGGUGAAACACGUCUCUACUAAAAAAAAAAAAAAAAAAAAAAAAAAAAUUUGCUGGGCGUGACGGCAGGCGCCUGUAGUCCCAGUGGGAGUUUGGGGAGGCUGAGGCAGGAGAAUCACUUGAACCCGGGAAGCAGAGAUUGCAGUGAGCCGAGAUCGUGCCACUGCACUCCAAUCUAGCGACAGAGCAAGACUCCGUCUCAAAAAAAAAAAAAAAAAAAAAAGUGGAAGGUGAAAAAAACACGGAGAGACAGCAAAGCUGGCAAUGACAUAGCUCCAAAAAUCCCACUUCUCAGAUAAGAUGCAGGCAGUAAGGGCCUGGAGUUUUAUGUAUCCUGAUGUUUGAAAGGGCUUGGACAGGGCACUUCCUCCCUCCAUAGCUCUUCUGUCCUUAGGAAUCCCUCCCUUCUGGAGGGGAAGGGUGGGGGUUUUCCUGUUUGGUCCCCAGGGAAGGAAGUUCAGAGACAGAGGCCCACUCAGGGCCACCCCCUGGCCUGCACCCCUGAAAUGCAAUUUGGAUAAUAUGGAAAAUUACUAGGAAGAAAAAACGCUAUAAUCCCCCCACCUAGAGAUAACCAGGCGUUCUGGUAUAUACCUAUUGAGGACUUUUUUCCCAAGCAAAUACUCAGAAAGAGACUUCCUCCCAAUAGGCAUGAGAUCUUACUCCACGUGCAGUUUGUCUUAUCUUGAUUUUUUUCCAGUAAUCUUUUAAGAGUUUCCCAUGCCAUGUAGUCAUUCUUCAAAAACCCACUUUGAACAGCUGCGUAAUAUUCCGCUGUGGAGGAGUGCCCUGCAGUGUAGAGAAAUGAGUUAUUUACGCUGAAGUCUGUUAUUACAUGGACAUCUUCCCUUUUCUGACCCUGCAAUGACCACACUCAUAGGUGAGUCUCUCUGGAAAUCCUUGACUACCUCCUUAGGGUCCAUUCUUAGAAGUGGAAUUACUGGGUUAGAGGGCAUGAGUGCCUUGAGGGCGGCUGUCUCCCUCUACCUGCAUGCCUGCCAGGGCAAACCCGUGCAUGCUCCCAGGACAGGCCUGGCAGGGCGUGUCUCCCUGCUGCACCCUUGGUACCCUUGGCAGGGCUAACAUUAUCCUCUAAACCAGGUCUUUGCAGCACUUACCCUUUUCAAGGUGCUACUGUACCUCUCCUUUAAGGAG
Molecule: long non-coding RNA, 7780 nt
Filed under: Homo sapiens (human)
Lineage: Eukaryota; Metazoa; Chordata; Mammalia; Primates; Hominidae
Description: non-protein coding LINC02320:19
Source: RNAcentral